This 102-nucleotide microRNA precursor is filed under the name Marmota monax (woodchuck). The record is from RNAcentral. Lineage: Eukaryota; Metazoa; Chordata; Mammalia; Rodentia; Sciuridae.
AACCACACUGGAGGAUCUUGCUAACAUGCAGAUUCUGAUUCAGGAGACCUGGGGUUGGGCCCAAGAUUCUGCAUAUUUAACAAGCUACCAGGUGAUGCUGAU